This 484-nucleotide ribosomal RNA is filed under the name uncultured bacterium. RNAcentral describes it as "partial 16S ribosomal RNA". It matches the Rfam family "Bacterial small subunit ribosomal RNA", at positions 30 to 507 of the family's 1533-position model. The record is from RNAcentral.
AUUGAACGCUGGCGGCAGGCCUAACACAUGCAAGUCGAGCGGAUGAAGUGAGCUUGCUCCUGGAUUCAGCGGCGGACGGGUGAGUAAUGCCUAUGAAUCUGCCUGGUAGUGGGUUAUAACGUCCGUAAACGGGCGCUAAUACCGCAUACGUCCUGAGGGCGUAAGUGGGGGAUCUUCUGACCUCACGCUAUCAUAUUAGCCUAGGUCGGAUUAGCUAGUUGGUUGGGUAAAGGCCUACCAAGGCGACGAUCCGUAACUGGUCUGAGAGGAUGAUCAGUCACACUGGAACUGAGACACGGUCCAGACUACUACGGGAGGCAGCAGUGGGGAAUAUUGGACAAUGGGCGAAAGCCUGAUACAGCCAUGCCGCGUGUGUGAAGAAGGUCUUCGGAUUGUAAAGCACUUUAAGUUGGGAGGAAGGGAAGUAAGUUAAUACCUUGCUGUAUUGACGUUACCAACAGAAUAAGCACCGGCUAACUUCGUG